AACAAUAACCCGGACAAGCUUCUCCUCGCGACGUGUUAUCACGUUUGCUACUGUGGCAACAAAUUACCCGAGGAUAAAGGAGAAGCUCACCAAAUACUUACCGAUGACAGCAAAAACAAGAACUCGCGUACUCGUACGGCGAGCUUCUGGAGUAUAACUAAAAGAGAAAGGAAAGAAGAGCAAAGUCAAAAAGACGUAGAAGAAAGGAACGAAGAGAGCGAGGAGAGGAAAGCUGAUGAAGAAAACUGCAGCAAUAUAGUACAGCAAAGAUAAUACAUUACGAAGAAAUCAAACUGGGACCAUUUUUGUGGGGGAAAUAUAACGAUAGAUGCGACAUUUGUUUCGUCGAAGGUCCUGAUGUUAAAUGCGAGUGCUCGACCCCUGAUGUUAAUCACAAAAUGCCAAUACUCACGAAGAGGGAAAUUGUCAAG
Molecule: non-coding RNA, 431 nt
Organism: Paramuricea clavata
Lineage: Eukaryota; Metazoa; Cnidaria; Anthozoa; Malacalcyonacea; Plexauridae
Source: the annotation of a GenBank genome assembly